RNAcentral lists this long non-coding RNA (292 nucleotides) under Phoenix dactylifera (date palm). RNAcentral's name for it is "long non-coding RNA (PDAC_LNC015394)". The record is from RNAcentral. Lineage: Eukaryota; Viridiplantae; Streptophyta; Magnoliopsida; Arecales; Arecaceae.
GUUCGUCAAUUUUCUAUUUCACUAAAAAUAUGCUAGACAGAUCGUUGUUAGAACCGACGGACAAAAGUUAAAUUUAAUUCUACUCUUACCUGUUCUACUCGAAGAAUAGCGGUCGUAAGAGGUCGAUCCACAGGGAGGCGAUUGGAGUUGCAUAAAAAUCAGAAUGUUCACUCGGAUUUGAAAUCGAUUUUUGAAUGAUUAAAGAAAACAUUAUUUUGAAGAUGUUGAUGGAUUCCCUGGUCUACCGGAGAAUGUUUUCUAAUUGAAAUUAAUUGAAAGACAGGUACUUAAA